This 497-nucleotide ribosomal RNA is filed under the name uncultured bacterium. Its description in RNAcentral is "partial 16S ribosomal RNA". It matches the Rfam family "Bacterial small subunit ribosomal RNA", at positions 28 to 507 of the family's 1533-position model. The record is from RNAcentral.
GAUGAACGCUGGCGGCGUGCCUAAUACAUACAAGUCGAGCGAACGGACGAGAAGCUUGCUUCUCUGAUGUUAGCGGCGGACGGGUGAGUAACACGUGGAUAACCUACCUAUAAGACUGGGAUAACUUCGGGAAACCGGAGCUAAUACCGGAUAAUAUUUUGAACCGCAUGAUUCAAAAGUGAAAGACGGUCUUGCUGUCACUUAUAGAUGGAUCCGCGCUGCAUUAGCUAGUUGGUAAGGUAACGGCUUACCAAGGCAACGAUGCAUAGCCGACCUGAGAGGGUGAUCGGCCACACUGGAACUGAGACACGGUCCAGACUCCUACGGGAGGCAGCAGUAGGGAAUCUUCCGCAAUGGGCGAAAGCCUGACGGAGCAACGCCGCGUGAGUGAUGAAGGUCUUCGGAUCGUAAAACUCUGUUAUUAGGGAAGAACAUAUGUGUAAGUAACUGUGCACAUCUUGACGGUACCUAAUCAGAAAGCCACGGCUAACUACGUG